Molecule: ribosomal RNA, 253 nt
Filed under: uncultured bacterium
Lineage: Bacteria
Description: partial 16S ribosomal RNA
Rfam family: Bacterial small subunit ribosomal RNA
Source: RNAcentral
UACGUAGGUGGCAAGCGUUGUCCGGAAUUACUGGGUGUAAAGGGCGUGUAGGCGGGAUAGCAAGUCAGAUGUGAAAUUCCGGAGCUUAACCCCGGCACUGCAUCUGAAACUGUUAUUCUUGAGUGUCGGAGAGGAAAGUGGAAGUCCCAGUGUAGCGGUGAAAUGCGUAGAGAUUGGGAGGAACACCAGUGGCGAAGGCGGCUUUCUGGACGAUAACUGACGCUGAGGCGCGAAAGCGUGGGGAGCAAACAGG